Long non-coding RNA from Cercocebus atys (sooty mangabey), 3306 nucleotides. Lineage: Eukaryota; Metazoa; Chordata; Mammalia; Primates; Cercopithecidae. The record is from Ensembl.
CUUAGCAAGCACUUUUAACAUCUCUGUUUCUGGUAUCAAAUAUUGAGAAUAUGAGAAGCUGCCUUUCCUUGUCCAGUACUCCCAGAGUGUCUGAAUCGGCAGCAGGUUCCAGUCCUGACCUGGGACAACUCCUAGAUUUUUCUAAGUUCCUUGAGAGUUGGGUUUGUGUCACUCACCCACGUGUAGCAAAGUCCUUGGCUCUUUACAGGCAGGUAGGAAAAGUGUGUUUGCCGAACUGCACUGAACUGCUGAACUGAGUCAGUCAAUUCAUCCACAAUGUGAAGCUACAGAGUGGCGGCCCAUGAGGCCAUCGUGGAAACGGGCAGCGAUCGAUGCAUCAUGAGACCGUUCAGCCACGUGACGUUUGCUCUUAGCUGUUUGUGUCAGAAGACCAGCAAUCGGUGCCUCUCUUCCACAAGUGCUGUGGUUUUUAAAAGUCAGAACAAUUCAGAACAGGAAUCACACAGAACAACAAUCUUCAGAGCUGUCCUUACUUGCAGGCAAACUAGAGAGCUGUCUGUGGGCCAAGACUUGAAGGGGCUGAGACUACAGUCUGCAGGUCCGUGCUGCCAAUCAUGCCUGAAAUUCCACCACAAGAGAUGAACGUUUUAAACAUUUGACCCCUAUAAAAAUGCAAACGCUGCUGGGAGGGAUUGUAAAUCAUUAAUACCACUCUGUGAGUUUAUCAGAUCACUCCUUGCUAUGUUGUAGGAGGGAGAAGGGCUGGAAAUGAGUAAAGAAUGCUUACCUGGCGUUGGGUGUGGCAGGGAAACUGGGAACAGCAUUCAGAUCGGAUCUUUUGAGGACAGGGCAAUUAGGCCAGUGAAAGUGUAAAGUGCAAAACCUCACUUGUUACAUAUAUACUUUGUGUGAGGAAAGCUAGUAGUAGCAGCGAACACUGUGAUAAGACCCAAAUAAUUGUUCUAUAGUUUCCACUUAUGCAGCGGUAAUUAAAAUCAUUUAUGCGAUUGGCCACAGACAGGUGGUCAGAGAAGUGGGUUUACACUCAAAGUUGCUCUAAUUCAACUGUUUGAAAUAGCAGGCCACCACAUCUGUUAAGAAAUAUAUAUAUAUGUUCUCCUGAAUUUUUAUGAGUUGGACUCAUCACAUCUCUGCUUUGGCUUAGGAAAAUAGUAAAAGCCAGAAUAUAUAACUGGUUUCCAUCCCCAAGAGUGGGUACACAUAUCAUAUUAUGUGAUCCUUGGAAAACGUCCCUUCCUCUGCAAAACCUAGCCACACUUGGAUGUUUUCUUAUGCUCAAAUUGACUCUUUUUGCCAACUGUUGGACUCCCUCUCACAGUACAGGUGGUCAAAUCAAAAUCAGGAAUGAACACAUGGCACGUUGCUUUUGACCUUAUCAUAUGUAAUAUUAAAAGAUAGCCUUUGUGUAUUUACUUUCCGUCCAGGCCACACACACAUACCAAGCAAUGUAUUCUUUGUUUAAAUAUAUAAGACAUGCUUAAAAUAUUCACUGGGAUUUUAUAUGGAAUAUUAGUUUUUCUUGGAACUUUCGGCCAAUGGCACAUUUUUGGAGAAAUUCUCAAACUUGCAUAAUUCAAAGUUGGCUGUCAUACCUGCAAUUGUCCAGACAAAAACAAAUGAUCCAAGAUUCCCAGUGCACAUACUAUGGAGUCAUGACAUAGAAAUAAAGAAGAUUACUUUGCAAGUAAAUUACCUUGUCCAUCUUUGUCUCCCCUUCAGGUUAGAACUCAAUGCUUGCAUAUACCAACCCCUCAGAAAUGUGUGCUAAAUGAAUGAACAGAAUCGAUGUAUGUCAGGGAGCCAUGACUAGGAUGCUGGUGGGUGUCAUCUAAUAACACUGAAGAAGGGAGGGCGUGUCGUGCCUAAGCAAUAAUUUGGGUAAAUAUAAUCACUGUCUUGAUUGUUGUGAAGGUGUUUUAGUGGAAGUGCACUUUUCUCUAAAGAUAGGGGACCAGAGACAAAAGUUUGAUCAGUCUUCAAGUAUGUAAUUAUGACACUGACAACUGUUUGAAUUAUAAAAGUAUCAAAAAGUGCUGCUCUAAAGGUUGCUGGCUCCUUAUCAUAAAAAAUAUUCCAUGACAGGUUUAAUGAUGAUUCCUCAGGUUUUUGGGAAACACUCGCUAAAUGGAGAGAAUGAUUGAUAAUGAUUGUUAGAAUCUACUUCAAUUCUAUUAUUACAUGAUGUAUCUGAACCCAUAUGUUAAUAUAUUAGUAUCUCAUUUCCUUCACAUAUGGCUGUUUCUAGUCAAUAUAUUUUCAUUCUUCACAUAAUGCGGUUGUGGUUGUGUUUCAUGUGGUUGUGUUUUGCUGUCUUUUGAUACAUCGUUUAUCCAUUGAAUAAGAUUUCGGUUUUCUCAUUUGACUUGUGAUAUCAAUCUCAUAAUUUUAAGGUCAUGCUCUGUCAAAGUAUUCUUGCAUGAUAAGUACAAGUGAAGACCUGGGUAGACCAAAUACCCUGAGUUUUAUGUGAAAUUAUCAGUGAGUUUCCUAGUUAUCACAGCUGAACAGUUAAGGCACUGCAGGUGUCUUUAUUUCAGUUGACCGUUUCUGACAAGACACACUUUGAAGAAUCAAAUUCCUCUACAUAAAACAAUAUUUAAUUUAUAAUUCCUUAUUAUAGCUAAAAGUAAAAAAACUGCACUAUCCAUAAUAUGCGAAAUGCAAACAUUCUGCAAUUUAUUAAGUACUUUAUUUUAGUUCUCAAGAUAAAUGGGGAUAAUACAUGAUAAGAUGCUGUCCUUCAAGAAGUUUAGUUUCUGGUUGGGGGAAGGAGAUAUGAUAAAUACAGAAAUGACUACUGGACACGAUGGGAAAUGUUAACUGACAGAGGUGGCACCAUGUAGUUGAUAUUUCAGUUCCGAAAAAGGAGUUGCUGAAGACUGGAAGCUUAGUGGAAAAGCUGGCUUCGAGAGGGGCUUGGCAGGAGUGCAGAAUGUGGAUAUACAGAUGACGAGGAAGAGCUUUGAACCAGCCACAGAAGGAAAACAAUGUAAGAAAUUGUGUCUUCCACUCCAUGAAGGGAAGUCAUGGGAAACAGUCUACAGUCUUCACAGCCUGAGGGGCUGUGGUAAUGAACUUGGGCCAUGUGUCAGCACAUGGGUGAGCCAGUAAAUGCUUAUGCAAGUAAAUGGACAGAGAUUCGAUUAUUUGAAGAUGACCUGGAAGAGAUGGGUACGAUUGAUUACAGCAGGAAAGGAGUGGAGUUAGUGAGACUCUAGGGAACACUCUCAUUAUUGAGCCAAAACAUAGCAUGCACCAAGGGCCUGAAACAAGAACGUGGUCUGCAGACAAGGAGAAGAUGAAUAAGAGAUACCAUGAAAUCAC